AGGGGUUGUUGCGCGGGCGCAGAGUACCGCGCCGCGGCUCUCUGGAGGGGUAGGGGCGUUCUGAGGUCGCAGCUGGCAUCUCAGGAUUCUGCCCUUUUCAGGGAGAGACAUUUAGACAAAGAGGAAUGGCUGCUUCAGCCCUGACAGAGCAUCAAGGUAAUACAUGCAAAGCACCCAGAACAGAAAGUGUUGUUUCGAUCAUCGUUACCAGGGACCAUUUGGAGGAGUGGAUGUUGGAGACAUUGCAACAGAAUCUCCCACACCUUUAAGAACCAGUAAUGCUCAUAUAAAGCUCUGCAUCCACAGGACUCUGCUCUUCAAGAGAGGGGCUCUGCGAAGGGGAGGAUAACCACUGGACUUCUAGAAGGCACAUCACUGCGAUCAGUAACAUUCCAAGAUGUGGCCAUCGACUUCUCCCAAGAAGAAUGGGGAUUCCUGAACCCUGCUCAGAGAAAACUGUCCAUGGCUGUGAUGUCGGAAAAUUAUCAGAACCUGGCCUGGCUAGAGAGUGAGUCAAUAUGGGAGAGCAAGGAAUUAUCUCCAAGGAAGAGUAUAAAAGAGGGAACAUUCCAACAUGAAAUAGUGAUGAAAAGAGCAAGCAGCAUAUGUAGAGAAUAUGCGAAAACUUCCUGCAGCAAUAACGCGCCUUUUCAUCCAUCAGAAAAGUCUUAAGGAGGAGCGUGGCCAGUGCCAUGAGUGUGGGAAAUCCUUUAGUCGUCGAUCAACUCUUGUUCAACAUCAGAAUCCACACAGGAGACAGACCCUGUAAGUGUAAUGAAUGUUGUAAAGCUUUCAAUCAGAGGGCACAUCUUAACCAGCAUGAGAGAAUUCACACAGGUGAGAGACCGUAUGAAUGUAAGGGAUGUAGGAAAACCUUCAGCCAGAUGACUCAUCUCACUCAGCAUCACAGUACACAUACUCGAGAAAAGUCCCAUGAGUGCAGCGAAGGUGGAAAGGCCUUUAGCCAUUCCUCAGCUCUGACUGAUCACCAGAGAAUUCAUAGUGGGGAAUAACCCUACAAAUAUAAGGACUGUGGCAGGGCCUUCACUCAAAGUGCACAGCUCAUUAGACAUCAGAAAAUUCACUCCAGAGAAAAACCCUACGAAUGUAGUAAGUGUAAGAAGUCCUUUAUACGUCUCUCUUCCCUGAUUGAGCAUCAGAGGGUUCACACUGGAGAAAAACCGUAUCAGUGUAUGGACUGCAAAAAUACCUUUUGCCGUAUCAUGCAACUUACCCUACACAGGAGAAUUCACACUGGGGAGAAAUCCUAUGAAU
Non-coding RNA from Leptonychotes weddellii (Weddell seal), 1275 nucleotides. Lineage: Eukaryota; Metazoa; Chordata; Mammalia; Carnivora; Phocidae. The record is from RefSeq and is a predicted model, not a curated record.